UCUCUCUCUCUCUCUCAUUCUCUCUCUCACUCUCUCGCUCUCAUUGUUGUUCAGGGUGGAGGUUGAAACUGGAUUUAACUGACUCCUAAAGAAAGUAAAGAGAACUGAAGGAGAGGAUAAGGUGUGUUGAUGAGGAGUGAAUGUAAAGAACAGAUCACCACAUUGAACAGAAAGCUGAUGUUGAAGUGGAAAAAUGGAUGAAUCUACAAACUCAACAUGAAUUUGCACAUUUCACACAGAGAUUUUUCGGGCAGUGGAAUUGGCCUAGCUGCACCCCAAGCCUGACUCCAUAUUGCCGCCAGGUGUAGGCUGACUCCGGUAUGGACAACGAACUGGUCAGCACCAGAAACAGUCUUCCUCCACCGAUAUUUGUUUCCGCUCUGUGUGUCGGUAGUUGUUUGAAGUGGAGGUACAGAAGUGGGAAGCUUUGAGUGCAGGUGUCUGAGUGGGAUUUGCAGGGCAACAAGGCACACACACACACUUACACAUACACACAGCUGUCUUUGUUGCGUCCACCACCUGGUUAGUGUAUUGGUUUACUUCCCGCCAUUUUAAUCAUUUGUGUUUUCAUUCAUUCAUUCAUUAUCGUAUUUAAUAUACAAUUUUCAUUUAAUGCAAUAUUAUUUGUAAAAUCAGAAAAGGCUGGGUUGAUCUAUGUUUAGCCUGUUUACAGGUUUGGAUAUAUUUUAAGUUUUUCAAUACACAUAUAUAGUAAAAAAUUCAAAAUGUGCAUUUGUCAUCAUAAUUUAUCUUAAAUAAUGUAAUAUUUAAUUGCAAAUAUAGCUUCAAAUGUCUGGUCAUGUGCAUGAGUGUCCACAGACCGCUCUUUCCUUACCACUGGCUUGAUCAAACCCAGAAACAGAGGAACGGAGAGACAGGGACAAACAACACAACCGUGUCUCUCACACAAACACACAUAGUGGACAAUAACAGCACUGUGUACGGGGAAAGAAGAUCCGGCAGGUCGAGAUACCACAGGAGAGCAGUGCCUGUCUGUCUGCAUCUGCUUUGCUCUGCCUGCUGUUUGAUGUGCAGGGAUUAGGGGAAAUCUGAGAGUUCCCACUUUAACUGAGCCAUAGAGAUGUUAACAUGCAAGAACAGAUACACACACAUUGCUCAGAUCAAAUUAUGUCUCUAAACAAAAUGAAUGAAUGCAGAUUUACUUAAUGCAAAUGUUGUAAAUAUAUGAUUUGUAGUGCUUAAAUACCUAUGGGACUCUACACACUGAUACCCGGUUAAGUUAAUGACACAUGCCUGUUAUGAGUAUCUACUGCUCUCUAUUGGACAGGGGAAGUAAUUGACGCCCUUUUUGCAGCAUCUUUUUUUGCUUACUAUUUCCUAAAUUAAAAUAUAAAAGAAAUAAUACUC
This is a non-coding RNA of Paramisgurnus dabryanus, 1368 nucleotides long. NCBI's taxonomy places the organism in Eukaryota, Metazoa, Chordata, Actinopteri, Cypriniformes, Cobitidae. The record is from RefSeq and is a predicted model, not a curated record.